Bombyx mandarina (wild silkworm) is the source of this 669-nucleotide long non-coding RNA. NCBI's taxonomy places the organism in Eukaryota, Metazoa, Arthropoda, Insecta, Lepidoptera, Bombycidae. The record is from RefSeq and is a predicted model, not a curated record.
GAAACGACGAGCAGAGUGAAUAGUGGCAAAUAGAAAUUGGCCACUAUUUUGGCCUUUUCACCUAAGGAGGCGAUAAUUUAAAGUUCUAACUCUAACAGUGUUAAGGUGGUAGAAUAGCAUCAGACUCCCGCUAUAAAGCGAUUUUACUGUCAGAAACAUAUAAUUUUGAUUGUUUAAAUUGUCAUAAAUGCCUAAAAAAGGAAAGUCCAAAUUAAAUUUGGUGACGUCUAAAUCAAAGUAUAUGAAAGCCAAGCGUGCAUGUGAAAGUCAAGAUGAAACGGAAAAUAGAUUACAAAAAGAACAAAAAAGGAAACAAGCUUUACGACGAAUGAAUUCAAAAAUUCUUUGUAAAGUAAAAGUUGAAAGUAAAAAUAAUUAAUGUAUGACCCCUCAGUUGAUUAAAAACAAGAAUAAAAAUUAAGUUGUAAGGCUUAUGGUGACACAAAAUGAAUUUAAUAGCUCAUGUUGUUAUCGCCAGAUAUCUAAUAAAUUCUGGGUUGAUAUGUACUCUAAAACUUAAAGUGAACAAUUUCCAUUAGCAUAAGGUUUACUGGCGGUCCACUAUGACACCGAAUUCAAACUAUACAGGAAGAAAUAACUCGAGAACUAUACGAAGGACAAUCUUCAUCAGACAGAUGUGACAUUGUAUCUAGAAUUUUUUAAUUAAAA